Molecule: long non-coding RNA, 1995 nt
Filed under: Anneissia japonica
Lineage: Eukaryota; Metazoa; Echinodermata; Crinoidea; Comatulida; Comatulidae
Description: uncharacterized LOC117105069, transcript variant X1
Source: RNAcentral
CAACCAACCAUAGACACAUACACACGCACACCAUCCCACCACAGUAAUCUCCGAGCCAUUUUCAAAAGUUUUCGAAUGGGAAUGGUGUAAAAAAACUUUUUUUCUGAAUAAGUAAUAGCAAAAAAGAUAGAUGGCAGAUUUUAUUAAAACGGUACUAUUUCCUGAGGUUAUCUGACACGUGAACAAACUGAAACUAAACAGAAUAAUGAAUACCUGACACCGCAGCAGCUGAUCUGGGCUCUUAAAUAUCUCUGUAUUAAGUAUAGUCAAAUUGUGACCAGAAACCAACAAGCAAUGGAAUGAUGUGCUUCACAGAUCCUGUACUCAAAAAUUCUUGUUGAAAAACAUUGUGUGGGGCAAUGUUCGACGCCAUUUAUUUUUUUGCUCGGGAUGAACAACUGACGCUUCAGUCAUUGGCUAAAAUGUUGGACAUAGACGGGACAUUUAAAGUGGUUUGACACCCCUUUAUCUGUUUACAGUCCACUUUUUCGUUAAGAUGGAGCAACCAAACAGAUACUGUUAGUUUAUGCCUUGGUGUCAGGAAAGGAGGCAAGUGCUAUAAAGCCGUCUUAAGACCAAUGAAAUGGGUAUUAGCUUCAGAGAUUGCAACAGAGGAGGUGAUGUUGGAUUUUGAAAGAGGGUUACGGAAAGCAGUUCCUGCUGUAUUACCAAAUGUACGUUUACUUUUAUUACAAGACGGGAAAAUAGUAUUGUGCAAGAUGUGAAACUUUUAUUAUACACUCCAUAAAAGACAACAAAUUAAAUAUAUUACUGGACAAAAAUUAAAUAUAUCAAAGUAUUCAUUCCUUAGAAAAUAGAAGUGAUGCCUUCAUAAUAAUCCUAAAUGCCUGUGAAGAUGAUUUGAUUAACUUAAUAAUUAAUAAAUUAAGAAACAACACAGUAUAAAUAUGUGUUUAGGGUCCAUAUCAAAAAUAUCAAUGUCUUAACAAUUUUAUUUUUUCAUUAUCAUGUGUGUGAUAUGUCAUGGAUGCUCCUUCCACUGGAAGAAUUAGCAGUAUGGACAAAUAUUGUAUAUAGUAGUAUGUAUAACUUUUUGAUUGUAUAGUAGUACAGUAUAAGAUUCCGAUUGACAAAGACCUAGCAGUAUGAUUCUGAUUGUAUAUAUUAUAAGGAUCUGAUUAUACAUAGUAGAAAUUAAAAUAAGAUUCUUAAUGGUAUGCAGUGGAAGAUUCUGAUUUACAUAGACCUAGCAGUAUAUGAUUCUGAUUGUACAUAUUAUAAGGAUACAUAGUAGAAUAAGAUUACUAUUGUUAUGCAAUGGAAGAUUCCGAUUUACAUAGACCUAGCAGUAAGAUUCCAAUUGUACAAAUAUAUAGAUUCCAACAUAUUUAUUAUUAAUUAAUUGUACAUUUUAAUAUAAGUAGUAUAAUUUUUAUUUUGUAAUAAAUUAUUUCAAUAUAAAAGUGUCUUCAAUCAGUUUUGUAGGAGCUUUAAAAGCAAAAAUAGUGAAAUAAAAAUCAAUUGUAAUAACUUAGACACUACAAUGUAAAUAAUAUUUGAAAUAUUAGCCUAUGUUAAAAGUUGGUGGUUAGAUUUUAGAAUUUAAAUUGGAAAAAAAGACACAUUUUAUAUUUUCACACUUUCAUUUUUUAGUACAGUAUAUUUACAUUGCAGAUGAUGACAGGUCUACCGAAAGUAAAAGCCAUUUAUAGACAUGUAUUCGCGAAUUCAGUCUUGUGACUUCUGAACUUUUGGUAUAUCUUAUAUUCCACUUAACUGCCAAUAACUCACCACUGUUAUUGAAAGUUCAUUUUAAAAAAAGCACAAGAAUCUGUCAAAUAUAUAUAAUGGAUUAUACUACUUAAUGCACUACUACUCAUUGGAUAUUUUCUGCAUGCCAAAAUUCUUGUCACUUUUGCAAAUUACAUACAUACAUUUAAGAAAAUAUUAUACCAUGGAAAAAGACACUAAAAAAUUAAGAUUUUGGAACACUAUAUUGAAAUGCUUGUGAAUUAAAAUAUCAGUUAUUUAACA